RNAcentral lists this ribosomal RNA (253 nucleotides) under uncultured bacterium. RNAcentral describes it as "partial 16S ribosomal RNA". It matches the Rfam family "Bacterial small subunit ribosomal RNA", at positions 524 to 776 of the family's 1533-position model. The record is from RNAcentral.
UACGUAGGGGGCAAGCGUUGUCCGGAAUCACUGGGCGUAAAGCGCGCGCAGGCGGCGAUCUGCGUCUGGGGUGAAAGCCCGGAGCUCAACUCCGGGACUGCCUUGGAUACGGGGUCGCUUGAGGAUCGGAGAGGCAAGGGGAAUUCCACGUGUAGCGGUGAAAUGCGUAGAGAUGUGGAGGAACACCUGUGGCGAAGGCGCCUUGCUGGCCGAUUUCUGACGCUGAGGCGCGAAAGCGUGGGGAGCAAACAGG